GUACUCUUUAAAGGUCCAACCUCCUUGCAAUGAGCAGGGAUGUCUUCCACUAGAUCAGGAUACUUAGAUCUCCAUUCAACCUUGAGUGCUUCCAGCAAUGGGGCAUCUACCACUUCUCCAGGAAACUUGGAUGUCCAGAAGUUGUCAGAACAUCAUAUUCUUAAAGAUUCUUGCUUUGUGGGAGCUUCUAUUGGAUACAGCACAAGAAGACUGAAGUAAAUCAGUUCCUGUUCUCAAUUCCUUUGGAUUUUUCAUAGGAUCUGAAGUAUGACACCAGACUGCCUCUAUGCAGAGAAAUAGAUGUUUUUAGGAUGUGAUUCAUCUGAAGAAAUGCAUCUAAAAUUAUUCAGGUUGAGCUAUGAGCAGAGGCACCCAUGUUGAGGCAAGCAGAUGUUGAAGUAGCUGUGAUCCAGUGAGAAGCCUGAACAGAGAUAGGAGAGAAAUGAGAAACCUUGCCCCAGGGAUGAAAGAAUAAAACCUCUGUUCCAGAGAUAAAAGAAGUUUUUGUUUCUAUGCUAUAACAGCUCAUCCUUAAAAUUGUACUCCAAUAAACUGAAGUGACCCAUGGUGUUAGUUGUGGGAAAACUACAAAAUUGUGGGAGGGACUUCACGAUUGCAGAUAUCUGGGCAGCUGCUAUUCAUGAAAAUUAAAACCACAAGAGAACUCUUUCUUGUAGAAAAGUCUCCAUGGCAUGGCAGAAAAAACUUGUAAGUGGACUGAAGAAAGAUUAUUUUAAAAGUGGUAAACUGACUGAAAACACCAUAUUUGUCUCUUUACAUUGCCAGUGGGGAAAAAAAAAAAGUGCAGGGGAGGAGAAGUGUUUUGAAGGUUUAUUCUGAUUUCUUAUAAAUUUUCUUUCAGUUCUGUUAAUAAAGUUUUCAUUAUACCUUUUAAAGGUUUGAGCCUGCUUUGCUCUCGCCCUAAUCCUUAUCUCGCAGCAGAAAAUGAGUAAAUAAUUCUAGUGGGUGCACUGGUGUUAGGCCAGCACUAGACCCACCACAUUAAUUGGUGCAUUGGCUGGGAAACUCAGAUUGGUGAACAAAAACCACUACACUUAACUGGUGUUUCUGCCCAGUUUAACCAAAACCA
Passer domesticus (house sparrow) is the source of this 1090-nucleotide long non-coding RNA. RefSeq lists it as uncharacterized. The record is from RefSeq and is a predicted model, not a curated record. NCBI's taxonomy places the organism in Eukaryota, Metazoa, Chordata, Aves, Passeriformes, Passeridae. The transcript is spliced from 4 exons.